AGUGAAAUAGCUGGGUUAAAUGGUUGUUCCAUUUAAAGUUUUCUGAGGAAUCUCCAUACUCUCUUCCAUAGUGGUUGCACCAAUUUGCACUCCCACCAACAAU
Molecule: microRNA precursor, 103 nt
Filed under: Marmota monax (woodchuck)
Lineage: Eukaryota; Metazoa; Chordata; Mammalia; Rodentia; Sciuridae
Source: RNAcentral